CGGGAGCUGCACCUGAAGUUUCUUUGCGCAUAUGUUGUGUAGGGUCACACCAGUUUGCUCCUCUAUUACAGCGAAAACACGUUGGUCAAAGGUGCCAUUGAGGCAUGCGAAACACUUGAUGUUGCGGGUGCAGUAGGUACGCCGUGAGGUAUUGAUUUGACAGCCACAGCACACGCAGUAGACAAGAAGCUUUAACUUAUCGUUGCUGUUUACGUUAUAGGCAGGUAAUUUAGGCAUCAUUUGGACUCAUGUCCAGAAAUCGGAGUGCGAUCAAUUGCAAUGUGUGUGGGGCACGACAUGAGUGAACCCGGGUGUGAUUUACACUCCUACAGAGUAUUUGAGUUGAGGACGGAUGAAAAGCAACGUCGCAGUUGCAAAAGCUCAUCCUUUUGCGCUGUUUUGUCCACAGCUCGAAGCCCCCUAAGCCCCCUACAGCCCCCCCAUACAAGCCCCCUGGAAAGCGCCCCAUGCUCACAUAGCUAGCUCUGGCGAGUCAUCAAGAUGGUGCACGCAGCAACUGCAGAGUGUUGCGGUGAGUUGACCUCGCACCCGCAUGACAGGGACAGGAAUGCACGCCGUGCUCACCAUCUUGCACACAACGCAAAAUCAAACAGAAUCCCAUGCCGCGACGUACGACUCGCCGUUUGGAUACAUACGGAAUUCCGCACCUAUACCAUACACAUCGUACAGAACCUCACAAUACCGUGCAUAUGGCGCCCUCGCCUUUUGGGCCACAGCGAAUACAGUGCUUCCGGCCACCGUCAUGUUCAAAGGCACCGAAAGACCUGGUAUUUUUGAUACGCGGCGAUUGAAAUCGUACCAUACCGAGUCGUCGGGCUGUGCCGAGAAGCCUGCCAAUGUCACAUCAAAUCCAGAUGCUUCCAGAGCACUAACUACUUCACCAGAUGUGUACUCGCGCGAAUGUGCGAGACCCAGCGAAUGACGGCGUCGGAAAAGAAACUGCAAUAUAUACACACAAUCAGACAGGUGAUGCCGCACACACCUUCAAUACACUACCUUGUGGUAUGAAUGCGGCGAAUUCCCAUGCAGCAUUUGAGCAAUGCCUCUCAGGCUACCUAAAUUUGGCGUUGAUAAAAAUAAUAUGCCGCCAGGUCGAAGAACACGAUGAAUUUCUAAGAUACCAAACAUUGGAUCAAGGCUUAAAUGUUCAAAAACAUGGAACAUAAUAACAUAGUCAAUGGAGGCGGACGGUAAUGGUAUCGGUUCUUGUUCCACGUCAUGCUUAAAUAGUGGAUAUUCGAAUGUGUGAUUGCGAAUUCGGAGUGAAAACCACCCUGAACAUGGCGCGUGAAGUUAAGCUUUACUCCUUCUUUGGUGGACAUACCAUUUGCGAGGUUGGGAAUAACUUUAUGGCGACCGGACGGCGCAUCCCAUGUGGUGACUUGUAUCCAGCUCGGAUCGAGAAGCAAAGAAAUUAUAGAAGGUAAAAUUCCAUUACCAUGCUCACCAAUGAAAAGAAACCGUGAUCGCUGCUGUGCAUAUUGCAUAAUUCGUUCCAUGCUUAGGGCAAUCCGAUUUACGCUAGCAUGAUUGUACGGGUCAUUUGUUGCAUGUGCAACUUCUCUUACAACCUCGUGUAUUUUUUGUACAUCUAUUGGCCAAAGCCGGGAAUCAGGGCCUUGGGCCCCAUCAUAUGUACUAUAUGACGAUGCAUGCCGUGGGCUGUAUGCGAUACACAAUACUGUAAAUACAAGCCGUAAAGGUGAAUACAUCUGGGACGGGCAAUGAAUGAGGAUUUGGUGGACGAUUGUUGAACGAAGGAGGUAAGCAAACUAGCGGAUUGCCAUGCGAUCCAUGGGGCGUGCCCCAAAGAGAGUCCAGUGACAUGGGACGCAACCUGACGCAACGUACGGUGUUAUAGUGCUGAGCAUGAGAGCAGGCGUAUGCAAGUAGUGACCCUUUGUGGCGUAGAGGUGAGGCGAAAGGAGGCUGGUAUAGGAUUGGCGACUGAAGUCUUAGUAUGAUCUGGAGUGCCAGAGUUGUAACAUACGUACGUUGAGCGAAAGGUACUGCGGAUGCUGGCGUGCGCACAACCUUCCGGACCGGUGACUGGGGCGGGGUCGGGG
RNAcentral lists this long non-coding RNA (2087 nucleotides) under Chlamydomonas reinhardtii. RNAcentral describes it as "long non-coding RNA (CREI_LNC001477)". The record is from RNAcentral. Lineage: Eukaryota; Viridiplantae; Chlorophyta; Chlorophyceae; Chlamydomonadales; Chlamydomonadaceae.